ACAUCUCAUGUCUAUAGAGAGGUCCAGCCCCCCGAUGCAACUUGCCCACUGUAUCCAGCUGAGACAAAUCAACAUCAGAAAGACCUUAGCAGCUCUACUACGGUGGAAGACCUAUUGACUCAAUAUUGGUUAAUCAGGUCUUAAUGUUUGCAACUUGAGCUCUUCAUAAGAGGUAAUCGAACAAUUGGCCAGGUAAGCAGGUGGGAGGCUCCC
This 213-nucleotide long non-coding RNA is filed under the name Phoenix dactylifera (date palm). Its description in RNAcentral is "long non-coding RNA (PDAC_LNC020409)". The record is from RNAcentral. Lineage: Eukaryota; Viridiplantae; Streptophyta; Magnoliopsida; Arecales; Arecaceae.